RNAcentral lists this ribosomal RNA (314 nucleotides) under uncultured eukaryote. RNAcentral describes it as "partial 18S ribosomal RNA". It matches the Rfam family "Eukaryotic small subunit ribosomal RNA", at positions 1470 to 1796 of the family's 1831-position model. The record is from RNAcentral.
CCCUUAGAUGUUCUGGGCCGCACGCGUGCUACACUGAGUAAUUCAAUGGGUAAGGGAACGCUAGAGCAUUACCUAAUCUUGAAAUUUGCUCGUGAUGGGGAUCGACGGUUGCAAUUUUCCGUCGUGAACGAGGAAUACCUUGUAGGCGCAUGUCAUCAUCAUGCGCCGAAUACGUCCCUGCCCUUUGUACACACCGCCCGUCGCUGCAACUGAUUGGGUGACCUGGUGAACAUCUUGGACCGGUCCACUCAAUUUCGAGAGGACUGGAAAAGGCCGUAAAUCAGGUACAUCUAGAAAUUGCAAAAGUCGUAACA